CAGGCAAAACCCAUUUAUGGUGGCUGGCUGCUCCUGGCUCCAGAUGGGACUGACUUUGAUAACCCAGUGCACCGGUCUCGGAAAUGGCAGCGCCGAUUCUUCAUCCUCUACGAGCACGGCCUCUUGCGCUACGCCCUGGAUGAGAUGGUACCAUGAGUCAGGAAUGAGUGAACGAAGAAAUAAACACGUGGGGGAGAAGACACAAAAUCUCCUGUGCGGACGGGUUCCAGGCGGUCUGUGUGGCGACUCCGCCCUCAAAGAGGUGGCGCUCACCCCCCACUCCUCACGUGUGGGCCGCUCACAGCGACGUCCCUCCUGGGAGGACAGUGUGCACAGGGGGCAACAGUGACGAGCACAGCCUCAGCCCGGCGCUCGGGGCCAGCGUCGACGGUGGAAGGCCCUGCGCCCUGGACGUGGCGUGAGGAGAACGGCGCUGCCCCGCUGCGGUCUCCUCCCCAGACCCACAGCCCCGCUGUAACCACGAGGCAACACCAGACACGCCCCAGCUGAGGGACCUUCCACCACACACCUGGCGGUCAGCGUUACCACGAAUGAGGCAAGUCUGAGAGAGUGUCGCGGCGGAGAGGAGCUAAGGUGACACGACAACUGCACGUCCUGUGGGGUCUGGGACAGAAAAGGACGUGAGGAGAAACUAGGGAACUGUGAGUAAAGGAUGGACUCCAGUUAACCGUCCCGGAUCAGUACUGGUUUCAUGACCGUGAUGAACAUACCACGCUGACGUGAGCGAGACAUUACCAGGAGGGGGAACGGAGAGCUCUCUGCUAUCUUCACGACUCUCUGUAAACCUAAAUGUAUCCUAAAAUUAGAAGUUCAUUUUAAAAAUAAAAAGGAAGAAGCAGUACCAAAGAAACUGGGAGAAAGAGGAGGUUUCUCCAGGCCAGGCAGCUGGGAAGGGCCGGGAAAUGCGGUGCCGCUGGAGCUGCCCUUGGGGGGCAGCUGGAGGAAGGGAGGACCCUGACGGCUGGCAGGGAAGCCCGGGCUGGUGUCCAGCGCAGGACGGGGGGCUCGGGUCAUGGGAGCGAAGCCAGAAGGUGGGUGGGCUCAGGUCACAGUCGGAAAGUAGGGCUUUGCUCAUCCCCUGCGGCCCUGGGCACCUGCUGCUGUGACCUGGCGUUGGGAGGCUGGUGACGGUGGUGAGUCCGAGGCUGCACUGGGAAUGGCGGUUGAGGUGUAAACUAGUGCCUUCUCAGGACUCCUUGUACUUUAGUUACUAGACUCUCCUUCCGACUCGUUGCCUGAUUAAACCAGGGCAGCGGGGCCGGAACGGGGCUUGAGGCUUACUCAUCCAUUGGCACCGGGGGAACUGGCGCCUUCCCACCUUCCCACGCGUGGGCGUGGCGUGUCCCCCCGUCCUCUGUCCUCACUCCCACCUCCCUCCCCACCGUGGCCCUUCACUGCCACCUCACACGUUAUUGACUCUGCCCGUCUGACUUGUUGGACAUCGAGACCGCACGGUCAGCUCGGUGAGGACAGAGAUGGUGGUCAGUUCGGUUUGUCACUGCGUCCCCAGUGCCCGCAGUGGAGCCCGGCACAUAGUAGGUGCUCGGCGAGUUCCUCCUGAGUGGCAAAUGCUGUUGGGGGUGGCGCUUUGCCUUUAUCUACACUGGAGGUGGUGCCAGCCCUAGGUUUAUGGGGACAAAAUGUCCAUUUAUCAAGGGACCCUUAGCAUCUGCAUGUCCUCAGCUCCAGCUGAGCUCCACACCUGAGGCUUCUGCCCCCCGAGCCUGGCUCUUCCCUGGGCCUCGCCAGACCAGCCUGGUCCUGGGCCACAAGAGGCCUUUUAGACUUGGCUCCUGCAUUCCUGGCCUCCUUCCCUCCUCCCCGCAGGCUCCGCUCAUACAUUUACUGCAGUGCUGAGCUCACCGUGGCGGUGCUGUGUCCCCGGCCCUUCCGCCUCGGCCCUCCUCCUCUAGGCUCAGCAGCCUGGGCGCCUUCAGUCUGCUCCUGUGGGACUCAUCUCAGGAGCCUGUCUGCACCGCUUGCCACUCCUGUGAACCAGCUUCUGUUUAUUUCUGGUCUUUGUCGAGCCCUGACUUAAGCGCGUCCCAUCCCUGAAACACCCUCUGCUGGAGCAAGGUGGCCUCCUCGGGCUGUGGCUGCAGAGCCUGGAGCGGCAUUUCAGAGCAGCACAUGGGGGCUGAGGGGUGAAGGGGGGACAGAGCUGCUGGCUGUGUGAGCUGCAGCAUCCUGCCCCGCCCCCACCCCGGGCAUUUCUGUCAGGGGCGCCAACACUAGCCUUUCUACUCCCCCCUUGCCACGUCCUUCUUCCCCUGGCUCCAGGAAGCCACCUGGUGGCCCUGGGCUUCACGGUGCUGCCCGGCUGCUGUGCUCCCUUGGGCUGUGUGACCCCUCGUGGGUGUGCUUCGUUGCCCACCGGAUACCUGAUGUCUCAGGCCUCCUGCUCUGAUGGACGUGAGUCUUUGCCAGAAGGAAACUGUCUCUGUUGAGAAGUGAUAGGGCUGGGGGCAGGGACACUGGCUCCCUCUCCUUUGCAUCUCAGAAGAAAGUUGAGUUCAAGUCCCUUUUUUGAUGUCUGUCCUCCUCAGCCCCCCAGCUCUGCCCCUCGGGACUGCUCCUGCUCUGUCUUUCGCCCCGUCUUUUGCCCCUUUCCUGCCGCACCCCUGCCCCAGCAAGGCUCUGCUCUCAGCCCUGAGCUGCCUCUGAGAGGCCUUUCCAGCUCCAACAGUCAGAUGGUCCUUGGGGUCUCUGUCCCUCCAGCUCCCAUCAUCUUUAGGUACCAUCGUUUGGGGGACCUCUCCCAGAGUUGCUGCCAGAACUGUCUUAUGCCCCAAGGGUGGCCGUAGCAAAGGCUGUUGGUGGCAGCUUGCUUUCUUCACGAAGCCAGCUGGUGACCUUGCCUUCCAGCCAGCUGCUGACCUCCGUCCUCUGCUGUCUCUGCCUUUCCUGCUUCUGCCUGUCUGAGUCCCGUCGCUUGUGUCAUUAGCCUAAAAGGGUCCAUUUUCUAUGAGGGCAGGGGGAUAAAAUUGCCCGCGAAAAGUAGCUGGAACAUAAGCCAAGUGCAGAAAAGAAAAGAAGUUCAGUUCUUGAGUUUAGCAUCUUGUCUGGGGUCAGAGCCACAGUCAAGGGGUCUCCCUCUCCUGGGCCCCCCUCCGCAGCAGACCACGUCCUCGGGCCCUGCGGGCUGUGGCCGCCUCGGGCCCCUUUGUUCCAGUCCUACCAGCAGGCCUGCCCUCCGGCUUCCGUGGGCCAGACCCUGCUCAUCCUUGUCGGGUGACCUGAGCGCUCGCUUUCUCCUCCACACGGCCUCUGCCGGGACCCUGUGAGCGCAUCACCUCCCCGGGCGCUCCCAGCCCCAUACCUGCUGUCCUUGGACUCCUGUCACUUACUGCUACUUGAAAUGGGAUUGUUCUUUGUUCUUUUUAUUUCCCUUCAUCACCACGAGAGUAAAGUGAGCUUUUGUAAAGGUGACAUUCUGUCUGUCCUGUUCUUACCUCUGUCCCUGGCACAAAGCGCAGGGGCUCGGUGAACACCUGUUGUCUGAAUCCAGACUUUUGCCCGUGCAUUCCAAGGUGACCCUGGGGUCUUUCAGGCAGGCCUCGAGGGCUUCUCCUCUCUCUCCCUCUGUAGAUGUGAUUAUAACUGUCAAGUGGAUCUGGUCAGAGUCCAGAACUUAGGCAGGUGUGAGUACAGCACCAGUUGUGCGUCAGGCAGGUAAGGACGUAUUUCCUCCAGGAGUGUCCUAGGUCGGCUCCCAAAGACUGCGCGAGUCUCCAGGAGCAGAGGUCGAUACGAGGGACACUGUGCAGGCCCGCAGAAAAACGGGAAGGGGCGUGGGUGCCGGGCGGGAACCGGGCAAGGCAAAACUGUAAAGGUCGGUUUUAGUGGUUCUGCUGAUGGGGAAGGAGAUUGAUUUACUUCAAGGGCUGGAGCUAAGGAAGUGAGCCACCUGGCCCUGGGGUGGACCCGGCCAUUGUGCCCAGCUGCCCCAGUCCUGUUGGAGUCAGAAGACUCACCUGUCCUGGGUGCUCUUUCGUACGUAAUUUGUACCUGAGGUCACCACACCUUCCAGGAAAAUGGUUCUUACGUCGUCCAGGUCUGGCUGAGGUGUGGGGCACUGACCCCUGUACGAGAGGGGAGCAGCAGGGCCCUGGGCCCUGUGCUGCCUGUGUGGGGUGCUUCUCCCACCCUGGGCCGAGGAUGGGGAAUGGGGAAAGGUAGGGAGCUGGGGAUGAGAGGGCUGCGGUCCGUGCCCGUUGUUCUGUUCUGUGCAUGUUGGGGAGGGCCUCACAGGAGGCCACUGUGCGUUGGGCGAGUUGGCCGGGCUCCAUCCAUAGAACGACCACUUCCACUCAGGGAGCCUGUUGGUCUAAAUGCGGUGUUUCUUUUUGCCUGUUUCCCUGCGUCGGUUACUGCCGUGCGUGUUGUCACUCCCAAGGUGGGAAUCCAAGUUGGCCUGGGCACUUGGUUCUCGGGGUAUGUAUGUGCGUGCACGCGUGUGUGUUCAGAUACAGAUAACAUAAAACUUACCAUCUUGACCAUUUUCAAGGCAGCUCAGUGGCAUUAAAUACAUCACAUUGUUGUGUAACUAUCACCAUCAUCCAUCUUUGGAAUUUUUCAUCUUCCCAAAUUGAAACUCCAUACCAAUUAAACACUAAUACUUGUCCUUUUGUGUCUCGUGUAUUUCACUUAACAUAAUGUUUUCAGGGUUCAUCCAUUUUGUAGCAUGUCAGAA
Molecule: RNA transcript, 4714 nt
Organism: Physeter macrocephalus (sperm whale)
Lineage: Eukaryota; Metazoa; Chordata; Mammalia; Artiodactyla; Physeteridae
Gene: MPRIP
Gene name: myosin phosphatase Rho interacting protein
Exons: 3
Source: RefSeq, a predicted model, not a curated record